RNAcentral lists this ribosomal RNA (765 nucleotides) under uncultured Streptococcus sp. Its description in RNAcentral is "bacterial SSU rRNA". It matches the Rfam family "Bacterial small subunit ribosomal RNA", at positions 28 to 776 of the family's 1533-position model. Lineage: Bacteria; Bacillati; Bacillota; Bacilli; Lactobacillales; Streptococcaceae. The record is from RNAcentral.
GAUGAACGCUGGCGGCGUGCCUAAUACAUGCAAGUAGAACGCUGAAGCUUGGUGCUUGCACCGAGCGGAUGAGUUGCGAACGGGUGAGUAACGCGUAGGUAACCUGCCUGGUAGCGGGGGAUAACUAUUGGAAACGAUAGCUAAUACCGCAUAACAGUCGACAUUGCAUGAUGUUGAUUUGAAAGGGGCAAUUGCUCCACUACCAGAUGGACCUGCGUUGUAUUAGCUAGUUGGUGAGGUAACGGCUCACCAAGGCGACGAUACAUAGCCGACCUGAGAGGGUGAUCGGCCACACUGGGACUGAGACACGGCCCAGACUCCUACGGGAGGCAGCAGUAGGGAAUCUUCGGCAAUGGGGGCAACCCUGACCGAGCAACGCCGCGUGAGUGAAGAAGGUUUUCGGAUCGUAAAGCUCUGUUGUAAGAGAAGAACGAGUGUGAGAGUGGAAAGUUCACACUGUGACGGUAACUUACCAGAAAGGGACGGCUAACUACGUGCCAGCAGCCGCGGUAAUACGUAGGUCCCGAGCGUUAUCCGGAUUUAUUGGGCGUAAAGCGAGCGCAGGCGGUUAGAUAAGUCUGAAGUUAAAGGCUGUGGCUUAACCAUAGUACGCUUUGGAAACUGUUUAACUUGAGUGCAGAAGGGGAGAGUGGAAUUCCAUGUGUAGCGGUGAAAUGCGUAGAUAUAUGGAGGAACACCGGUGGCGAAAGCGGCUCUCUGGUCUGUAACUGACGCUGAGGCUCGAAAGCGUGGGGAGCAAACAGG